UACGUAGGGUGCAAGCGUUAAUCGGAAUUACUGGGCGUAAAGCGUGCGCAGGCGGCUUUGCAAGACAGAUGUGAAAUCCCCGGGCUUAACCUGGGAACUGCAUUUGUGACUGCAUCGCUGGAGUGCGGCAGAGGGGGACGGAAUUCCGCGUGUAGCAGUGAAAUGCGUAGAUAUGCGGAGGAACACCGAUGGCGAAGGCAAUCCCCUGGGCCUGCACUGACGCUCAUGCACGAAAGCGUGGGGAGCAAACAGG
Molecule: ribosomal RNA, 253 nt
Filed under: uncultured bacterium
Lineage: Bacteria
Description: partial 16S ribosomal RNA
Rfam family: Bacterial small subunit ribosomal RNA
Source: RNAcentral